UACGUAGGGUGCAAGCGUUAAUCGGAAUUACUGGGCGUAAAGGGCGCGUAGGCGGCCUUCUAAGUCAGACGUGAAAUCCCCCGGCUUAACCUGGGAACUGCGUCUGAUACUGGGAGGCUAGAGUGCGGGAGAGGGAUGCGGAAUUCCAGGUGUAGCGGUGAAAUGCGUAGAUAUCUGGAGGAACACCGGUGGCGAAGGCGGCAUCCUGGACCGACACUGACGCUGAGGCGCGAAAGCUAGGGUAGCAAACGGG
This 253-nucleotide ribosomal RNA is filed under the name uncultured bacterium. RNAcentral's name for it is "partial 16S ribosomal RNA". It matches the Rfam family "Bacterial small subunit ribosomal RNA", at positions 524 to 776 of the family's 1533-position model. The record is from RNAcentral.